UGGCGAACGGGUGAGUAACGCGUGAGGAACCUGCCUCAAAGAGGGGGACAACAGUUGGAAACGACUGCUAAUACCGCAUAAGCCCACGGGUCGGCAUCGACCUGAGGGAAAAGGAGCAAUCCGCUUUGAGAUGGCCUCGCGUCCGAUUAGCUAGUUGGUGAGGUAACGGCCCACCAAGGCGACGAUCGGUAGCCGGACUGGGAGGUUGAACGGCCACAUUGGGACUGAGACACGGCCCAG
This 240-nucleotide ribosomal RNA is filed under the name uncultured bacterium. RNAcentral's name for it is "partial 16S ribosomal RNA". It matches the Rfam family "Bacterial small subunit ribosomal RNA", at positions 96 to 334 of the family's 1533-position model. The record is from RNAcentral.